GAAAAAGGAACAAAGGCUAAGAACGCAACGUCCUGUUGCGAUGCCUUUGUAACUUAAUUCCUGUGAG
Molecule: non-coding RNA, 67 nt
Organism: Domibacillus enclensis
Lineage: Bacteria; Bacillati; Bacillota; Bacilli; Caryophanales; Bacillaceae
Source: Rfam